RNAcentral lists this unclassified non-coding RNA (253 nucleotides) under uncultured delta proteobacterium. Its description in RNAcentral is "contains 16S-23S intergenic spacer region". It matches the Rfam family "Bacterial small subunit ribosomal RNA", at positions 524 to 776 of the family's 1533-position model. Lineage: Bacteria; Deltaproteobacteria. The record is from RNAcentral.
UACGGAGGGUGCAAGCGUUGUUCGGAAUUAUUGGGCGUAAAGCGCGCGCAGGCGGCCAGUUAAGUCUGAUGUGAAAGCCCGGGGCUCAACCCCGGAAGUGCAUUGGAUACUGGUUGGCUAGAGGGCGAGAGAGGGAAGUGGAAUUCCUGGUGUAGGGGUGAAAUCCGUAGAUAUCAGGAGGAACAUCAGAGGCGAAGGCGGCUUCCUGGCUCGUUUCUGACGCUGAGGCGCGAAAGCGUGGGUAGCAAACAGG